Molecule: ribosomal RNA, 2935 nt
Filed under: Serratia marcescens
Lineage: Bacteria; Pseudomonadati; Pseudomonadota; Gammaproteobacteria; Enterobacterales; Yersiniaceae
Description: bacterial LSU rRNA
Rfam family: Bacterial large subunit ribosomal RNA
Source: RNAcentral
GGGUUGUGAGGUUAAGUGACUAAGCGUACACGGUGGAUGCCUAGGCAGUCAGAGGCGAUGAAGGGCGUGCUAAUCUGCGAAAAGCGUCGGUAAGGUGAUAUGAACCGUUACAACCGGCGAUACCCGAAUGGGGAAACCCAGUGUGUUUCGACACACUAUCAUGUCAUGAAUACAUAGUGGCAUGAGGCGAACCGGGGGAACUGAAACAUCUAAGUACCCCGAGGAAAAGAAAUCAACCGAGAUUCCCCCAGUAGCGGCGAGCGAACGGGGAGGAGCCCAGAACCUGAAUCGGCUUGUGUGUUAGUGGAAGCGUCUGGAAAGUCGCGCAGUAAAGGGUGAUAGCCCCGUACACUAAAAUGCACAGGUCGUGAGUUCGAUGAGUAGGGCGGGACACGUGACAUCCUGUCUGAAUAUGGGGGGACCAUCCUCCAAGGCUAAAUACUCCUGACUGACCGAUAGUGAACCAGUACCGUGAGGGAAAGGCGAAAAGAACCCCGGCGAGGGGAGUGAAAUAGAACCUGAAACCGUGUACGUACAAGCAGUGGGAGCACCUUCGUGGUGUGACUGCGUACCUUUUGUAUAAUGGGUCAGCGACUUAUAUUUUGUAGCAAGGUUAACCGUAUAGGGGAGCCGUAGGGAAACCGAGUCUUAACUGGGCGAAUAGUUGCAAGGUAUAGACCCGAAACCCGGUGAUCUAGCCAUGGGCAGGUUGAAGGUUGGGUAACACUAACUGGAGGACCGAACCGACUAAUGUUGAAAAAUUAGCGGAUGACUUGUGGCUGGGGGUGAAAGGCCAAUCAAACCGGGAGAUAGCUGGUUCUCCCCGAAAGCUAUUUAGGUAGCGCCUCGUGAACUCAUCUUCGGGGGUAGAGCACUGUUUCGGCUAGGGGGCCAUCCCGGCUUACCAAACCGAUGCAAACUCCGAAUACCGAAGAAUGUUAUCACGGGAGACACACGGCGGGUGCUAACGUCCGUCGUGAAGAGGGAAACAACCCAGACCGCCAGCUAAGGUCCCAAAGUCAUGGUUAAGUGGGAAACGAUGUGGGAAGGCAUAGACAGCCAGGAUGUUGGCUUAGAAGCAGCCAUCAUUUAAAGAAAGCGUAAUAGCUCACUGGUCGAGUCGGCCUGCGCGGAAGAUGUAACGGGGCUAAACCAUGCACCGAAGCUGCGGCAGCGACGCUUAGGCGUUGUUGGGUAGGGGAGCGUUCUGUAAGCCGUUGAAGGUGGCCUGUGAGGGUUGCUGGAGGUAUCAGAAGUGCGAAUGCUGACAUAAGUAACGAUAAAGCGGGUGAAAAGCCCGCUCGCCGGAAGACCAAGGGUUCCUGUCCAACGUUAAUCGGGGCAGGGUGAGUCGACCCCUAAGGCGAGGCUGAAAAGCGUAGUCGAUGGGAAACAGGUUAAUAUUCCUGUACUUGGUGUUACUGCGAAGGGGGGACGGAGAAGGCUAGGCUAGCCGGGCGACGGUUGUCCCGGUUUAAGCGUGUAGGGGGUGUGACCUGGUAAAUCCGGUUGCAUAUCAACCCUGAGGCGUGAUGACGAUGCACUACGGUGCAGAAGUAGUUGAUGCCCUGCUUCCAGGAAAAGCCUCUAAGCUCCAGGUAACAUUGAAUCGUACCCCAAACCGACACAGGUGGUCAGGUAGAGAAUACCAAGGCGCUUGAGAGAACUCGGGUGAAGGAACUAGGCAAAAUGGUGCCGUAACUUCGGGAGAAGGCACGCUGGCAUGUAGGUGAAGUCCCUUGCGGAUGGAGCUGAAGCCAGUCGAAGAUACCAGCUGGCUGCAACUGUUUAAUAAAAACACAGCACUGUGCAAACACGAAAGUGGACGUAUACGGUGUGACGCCUGCCCGGUGCUGGAAGGUUAAUUGAUGGGGUCAGCCGCAAGGCGAAGCUCUUGAUCGAAGCCCCAGUAAACGGCGGCCGUAACUAUAACGGUCCUAAGGUAGCGAAAUUCCUUGUCGGGUAAGUUCCGACCUGCACGAAUGGCGUAAUGAUGGCCAGGCUGUCUCCACCCGAGACUCAGUGAAAUUGAACUCGCUGUGAAGAUGCAGUGUACCCGCGGCAAGACGGAAAGACCCCGUGAACCUUUACUAUAGCUUGACACUGAACAUUGAGCCUUGAUGUGUAGGAUAGGUGGGAGGCUUUGAAGCGUGGACGCCAGUCUGCGUGGAGCCAUCCUUGAAAUACCACCCUUUAAUGUUUGAUGUUCUAACUCGGCCCCAUAAUCUGGGGUGAGGACAGUGUCUGGUGGGUAGUUUGACUGGGGCGGUCUCCUCCCAAAGAGUAACGGAGGAGCACGAAGGUUAGCUAAUCACGGUCGGACAUCGUGAGGUUAGUGCAAAGGCAUAAGCUAGCUUGACUGCGAGAGUGACGGCUCGAGCAGGUACGAAAGUAGGUCUUAGUGAUCCGGUGGUUCUGAAUGGAAGGGCCAUCGCUCAACGGAUAAAAGGUACUCCGGGGAUAACAGGCUGAUACCGCCCAAGAGUUCAUAUCGACGGCGGUGUUUGGCACCUCGAUGUCGGCUCAUCACAUCCUGGGGCUGAAGUAGGUCCCAAGGGUAUGGCUGUUCGCCAUUUAAAGUGGUACGCGAGCUGGGUUUAGAACGUCGUGAGACAGUUCGGUCCCUAUCUGCCGUGGGCGUUGGAAGAUUGAGAGGGGUUGCUCCUAGUACGAGAGGACCGGAGUGAACGCACCACUGGUGUUCGGGUUGUCAUGCCAAUGGCAUUGCCCGGUAGCUAAGUGCGGAAAAGAUAAGCGCUGAAAGCAUCUAAGCGCGAAACUUGCCUCAAGAUGAGUCUUCCCUGGGCCUUUAAGGUCCCUGAAGGAACGUUUAAGACUAAGACGUUGAUAGGCUGGGUGUGUAAGUGCAGCGAUGCAUUGAGCUAACCAGUACUAAUGAUCCGUGAGGCUUAACCUUACAACACCGAAGGUGUUU